Marmota monax (woodchuck) is the source of this 1480-nucleotide long non-coding RNA. RefSeq lists it as uncharacterized. The transcript has 2 exons. Lineage: Eukaryota; Metazoa; Chordata; Mammalia; Rodentia; Sciuridae. The record is from RefSeq and is a predicted model, not a curated record.
UCCUGCCACCCAGAGGAAACCUGAGCCGCAGCAGCUCCGGCUCCCCCUCUGCUGCCCCUCCCCACUGCUUUCCAAGUGCAGGUGGUGAGGCCAGUGGCCUGGUGGGUGACGGCCCUCCAGGUACUAGGAGGAAACUGUCCCCAGGGUGUUUGCUGGCUUGCAGUUAACAUGAGGCCUCUUCAGAGGAGAAACUUCUCCACUUCACAUCAGCCGUCUCUGGAAGAAGAAGGAGGAAAGAAAGAAGAGGAAGAAGAGGAGGAAGGAGGAAGAGGAAGAGGAAGAGGAGGAGGAGGGGGAAGAGAAAGGGGGGAAGGGAUUAUGAUUAUUAUUAGAACUGUAAUGAUUGUUAGAGGGAAAGAUCUAACUAUGACCUUCUGCAGGGCAGGGCAAGAGUGUGGAGAAAGCAUGAAUUUUGAAAUACUUCCCUCCCAGGAUGGGAUUUGGCUCUGGCAUUAGACUUAGGGAAAGCAGCUGCCAUAGCUGGGCCUAUGUGGCCCAGUCUGUGAAAUGGGGUGAUGAUGCUGUCACUGCAGUGCAGCUGGGCGCACUCUGCAUGUGUUUGUGGAGGGGCUCCUACCCAGGGGGCCUUGACAGGCGUCUUACAAAUCCAGAGCCUAGGUCCCAUGGGACCAGGCCAUUACCCCAGAUAGAAUUGCAUCCCAGUAGACUGCUCUGAGCACAAAUGUAUUCUAAAACCUCUGGAUGGGAGCUAAUCACUGCGGAAGUCACAGAGCCUCAGUUCCAGAUAUCAGAAGAGCCCCCAAAAAUGAGACCCUGGGGAAUGGCAGAGAAUGUUCUCUUUCUUUUCAAAUGACAAAUUUAUACAUGUGAAAAGUUUGAAACGACAUGCCAAAUAAAUCAUGAGUAGUCAUCAUAUAGCUGGUCACCUUUAUUAGGAAACAAUAAAAUGCAUGAAGUCGGUAGGGUGCAGGGAGGUGCAGGUCACAAGAGUCCCUGUACGAUUCUUUCCUCCUGUCCUAAGUUGGCACAGCAGCUCUCUUGCUCAUGAUUUAGACAAUGCACAACUGGCUGCUUCAGUCACAAAGAGAGAGACGAUUUGCUGGUAAGAUCCUCUGCUUUUUCUAGGAAAAUUCCACUCCAAGAUUCUGUAUGGACUCUCAUCCAAACACAUGGCAGGUGAUCAUCUAAACCACCCAGGGAAGGUGCCAGAGGUAAACAUCUAAUUAAUUAAAGAAAACCUCCCUCCCCACCCCAACCUGGAAAAGGCCCUGUCAUGGAGAAGUGCUCACUCUCGCCAAUGCACGCUCACACACGUACUUUCCAAACCGCUUCCAGGUGACUGGUCCGCAAGCGGCCUGCCUCUGUUAAUUAAAGUCUACAAACCUUCAAGCCCAUCGCCCUUCCUUGGUUGUCUGCGUGACCACAACCCCUACGCUCUUCCAAGCAACAUUUGCUCCAACUUAAUAUUCUGGUGCUUUCAGGAACAUUUAAAAAUAAACCAUUUUGGCACAUUGUCAAA